GAAAUUGUUAGUGGCAGACGGGUGAGUAAUGCGUAGGAAUCUACCUAGUAGUACGGAAUAGCCAUUAGAAAUGGUGGGUAAUACUGUAUAAUCCCCGAGGGGGAAAGAUUUAUCGCUAUUAGAUGAGCCUACGUUAGAUUAGCUAGUUGGUGAGGUAAUGGCUUACCAAGGCUAUGAUCUAUAGCUGGUCUGAGAGGACGAUCAGCCACACUGGAACUGAGAUACGGUCCAGACUCCUACGGGAGGCAGCAGUGGGGAAUAUUGGACAAUGGGCGAAAGCCUGAUCCAGCUAUGCCGCGUGAGUGAAGAAGGCCUUCGGGUUGUAAAACUCUUUCA
Molecule: ribosomal RNA, 336 nt
Filed under: Ehrlichia canis
Lineage: Bacteria; Pseudomonadati; Pseudomonadota; Alphaproteobacteria; Rickettsiales; Anaplasmataceae
Description: bacterial SSU rRNA
Rfam family: Bacterial small subunit ribosomal RNA
Source: RNAcentral